GGGCCCGCACAAGCGGUGGAGCAUGUGGUUUAAUUCGAUGAUACGCGAGGAACCUUACCAGGGCUUAAAUGUAGUCUGACAGGGUAGAAACACCCCCUCCCUUCGGGCAGAUUACAAGGUGCUGCAUGGUUGUCGUCAGCUCGUGCCGUGAGGUGUCAGGUUAAGUCCUAUAACGAGCGCAACCCCUGCCGUUAGUUGCCAGCAUGUAAUGAUGGGAACUCUAACGGGACUGCCGGUGCAAACCGCGAGGAAGGUGGGGAUGACGUCAAAUCAUCACGGCCCUUACGUCCUGGGCUACACACGUGCUACAAUGGCCGGUACAGAGGGUAGCCACUACGCGAGUAGGCGCGAAUCUUCAAAGCCGGUCUCAGUUCGGAUAGGAGUCUGCAACUCGACUCCUUGAAGUUGGAGUC
This 413-nucleotide ribosomal RNA is filed under the name uncultured bacterium. RNAcentral describes it as "bacterial SSU rRNA". It matches the Rfam family "Bacterial small subunit ribosomal RNA", at positions 917 to 1333 of the family's 1533-position model. The record is from RNAcentral.